This 491-nucleotide ribosomal RNA is filed under the name uncultured bacterium. RNAcentral describes it as "partial 16S ribosomal RNA". It matches the Rfam family "Bacterial small subunit ribosomal RNA", at positions 28 to 507 of the family's 1533-position model. The record is from RNAcentral.
AGUGAACGCUGGCGGUAGGCCUAACACAUGCAAGUCGAACGGCAGCACAGUAAGAGCUUGCUCUUACGGGUGGCGAGUGGCGGACGGGUGAGGAAUACAUCGGAAUCUACUUUUUCGUGGGGGAUAACGUAGGGAAACUUACGCUAAUACCGCAUACGACCUACGGGUGAAAGCAGGGGAUCUUCGGACCUGGCGCGGUUGAAUGAGCCGAUGUCGGAUUAGCUAGUUGGCGGGGUACAGGCCAACCAAGGCGACGAUCCGUAGCUGGUCUGGGGGGAGGUUCAGCCACACUGGAGCUGACACGCGGCCCAGGCUCUGACGGGCGGCCCCAGCGGGUAAUGUGGGCAAAUGGGCGCAAGCCUGCUCCAGCCAUGCCGCGCGGGUGAAGCAGGCCUGCGGGUUGUAAGGCCCUUUUCUUGUGAAAGACCACUAGCAGCUUAAACCCCCCCUGUUCGGCCGUAACCCAUAGAAUAGCCCCGGCCAACUUCGUG